Molecule: ribosomal RNA, 500 nt
Filed under: uncultured bacterium
Lineage: Bacteria
Description: bacterial SSU rRNA
Rfam family: Bacterial small subunit ribosomal RNA
Source: RNAcentral
ACUCAAAUGAAUAGACGGGGGCCCGCACAAGCAGCGGAGCAUGUGGUUUAAUUCGAAGCAACGCGAAGAACCUUACCAGGACUUGACAUCCCUCUGGCGUAUACAGAGAUGUAUAUUUUCUUCGGAACAGAGGAGACAGGUGGUGCAUGGUUGUCGUCAGCUCGUGUCGUGAGAUGUUGGGUUAAGUCCCGCAACGAGCGCAACCCUUAUCUUCAGUUGCCAGCAGGUGAAGCUGGGCACUCUGGAGAGACUGCCGGGGACAACUCGGAGGAAGGUGGGGAUGACGUCAAAUCAUCAUGCCCCUUAUGUCCUGGGCUACACACGUGCUACAAUGGCCUGAAACAAAGGGAAGCGAAGGCGCAAGUCGGAGCGAACCCCAUAAACCAGGUCCCAGUUCGGAUUGUGGGCUGCAACCCGCCCACAUGAAGUCGGAGUUGCUAGUAAUCGCGAAUCAGCAUGUCGCGGUGAAUGCGUUCCCGGGCCUUGCACACACCGCCCGU